CAACAAAACCAAACCAAGAGCAACAAAGAACGUCUAAGUAGAAGAGUUUCGCUAUUACCGGAACACGUACACCCCUGUCCGUGAGCAGGGAUGCGGUCCGGGGCGCAGCGGCAUCGGCGGGGGCCGCUCGCCCUCUGCCGGGGACGCGGCGCUCGGCCGCCCUGCCGCCUCCGCCCGGGCCGAGCGCAGCACAGCGCCCUGGCAGCUGGGAGGCACGCUAAGAACAGCGCCUGACAGCCCUGUGCCGUGGGCAGGGGUGCCACCCACUAGGCCAGGCUGCUCAAAGCCACAUCCAGCCUGCCUUUGAACUCAUGCCGGGAUGGGGCAUCCACAGCUUCUGUGGGCAGCCCGGUGCAGCGCCUCGCCACAUGAGCCAUUUUACCUACACCCAAUUCACACCAAAAUCUAGCGGGAGAGAAGAACAGACGAGCCUAACAAAUGCCGCAGCCAGGAAGGAAAGCAGUGUAGCUCGUAGCCGCACUGCUUUAGCGAGCUGCGGGGAGGAGAGCACCCCCAGCUUCUCGUUGCCCACUCCCGCUCCUGGCAUUGCCCCAGCGCUGUCCCUGGCAGGCCCCUGCCCCAGCACAGCCCCGCUGCCUGGGCCGGGAGCGUCUGCCCCGGAUUCCUGCAGCACACACCGCUCCUGUGAGCGACAUCUACGUGUCUGCAAUGUCUUGGGACUCAGGAGUUUAAUUAAACACCCUUCAGUUUCAUACUAUGGGGAGGAACCCAAACCAAAGACAGGGUGGAUUACUGACCGUGGUGAAAGGCAAGAAAGAUGGCUGUGGGAGACGCGCACACAGUACGGUGCUGCCCACCCUGCCCUACUAUUUGUGGCAGGGAGGCAUUCACUCCUGGCACCUUUCCUUCCCCCUACCCUGGCCCAGCAAGUGCCACAGGGCUCGGGGAGGGCUGUGGUUCCAGCACAAAAAAAAGCCCAGCCGAGGAGAAGCCGGUUUUUGGGUGCUUUCUGGCUCUUGCAGGAGAGGGGGCCCGCGGCCUGCUGCCAGGCUGGACGGCACCACGCAGCAGCAAGAACCAGGGAAAUACAAGCAGUUGUCUGUAUUGGGAUUCCUGUUUCAUCUUGGAUGAUUGUUCACCUCAGGAGUGUACUGUGGAUCCUCUUCCUUCCCAGACUGAACUACAUGUUUGGAGAAACCAUUGUGAUUUUAAAAUCUCUCAGAAAGAAUUCAAAAUGGAAAUCAGAAUGGUAA
This 1214-nucleotide long non-coding RNA is filed under the name Parus major (Great Tit). RNAcentral describes it as "lncRNA (ENSPMJG00000000303.1)". The record is from RNAcentral. Lineage: Eukaryota; Metazoa; Chordata; Aves; Passeriformes; Paridae.